Molecule: long non-coding RNA, 1093 nt
Organism: Peromyscus eremicus (cactus mouse)
Lineage: Eukaryota; Metazoa; Chordata; Mammalia; Rodentia; Cricetidae
Exons: 4
Source: RefSeq, a predicted model, not a curated record
GUGUCCAUCUUGUGCUCAUUUGGGAAGGUAGAGUGUGUGGGAACAGGUGAGUCCAUUAGUUAUGGUGCAGCUCUCAGCACCAUCCUGAACUACUAGACAGCUUGCUUCCCGUCCCCACCAGAUCCAGACACCUUCAUAACUCACCCCAGCACUAUUACUGCUGAACUGCUUGUUGCUUUGCAACCUGAGUCAUAUGGAUGCACUCUUCUGUACUCUGUAUCUGGACAGACAGGGACACACACACACACACACACACACACACACACACACACACACACGUUUCUCCCAAUGUACCUCGUGCACAGUUGACACUAGUGAAGUUUGCUUGAACUGGAGAGGACUCCCAUUCCAAGAAAGGUAAUUUCAUAUUCCAUGUGAUUUCCCUUCUGGAAAUGUCUCAAAAUUCCUCUAACUCAGCUUGUUCCUGUCUCCACCCCUAAUGCAAUCACUUAACCACCCUGCUCUACUGCUUCGCAGGAGCCACGUGAAGCCAACACAUGGCAUGGUGCACAUUUUCCCCCAGGGCAUCCGGUCCUGUGCAAGGGAAGGCCCACCAGCUGUGCUUUGAGUGGAAGCAAGGUGAAGUCUGGAGUGUUUGACAGUUGGAUUCAGAGAUGGAGCUGGUUCCAAGCAUGAUCGUGGAUAGAAUCUGUUGAUGGAAAAACAAUGGCAACCCCCGGCCUGACAGUGGACAUGGCUGGUGCUGAAGCUUUGUGUCUCCAGGCAGCAGGCUGGGAAAGACUUUGGCUGCCUGUAUGACCCUAUGCUGGGGCUACCAAGGAGACUCCUGGGACUACACUCAGCAAGGGACAUUUUCAACUGGAUGGUGCUUAGAGCAGGAGAUGCCACUCAAGCCCUAACACACUGGAUGGAAGGGGGAACACAGAGGUCUCCUUGAUGGAAGAGGCUUCUGAUUGACAGAGAAUUUGGGCCAGAGGCUUACAAGCAGAUGGACUAAGAGCAACAAAAGAAAAUGUCUACUGAUCCAGGUGAAGAUCAGCCAUCGAGGAUAUGCUCAGAGAGCUGGGCAUAAGAUUGCUCUGCAGAAGUGUUACCAAGAAAGACAGGCACCGGACAAAAAGAUAUACGGCAC